Adelges cooleyi (spruce gall adelgid) is the source of this 246-nucleotide long non-coding RNA. RefSeq lists it as uncharacterized. Lineage: Eukaryota; Metazoa; Arthropoda; Insecta; Hemiptera; Adelgidae. The record is from RefSeq and is a predicted model, not a curated record. The transcript has 3 exons.
CAGCUGCGUAUAAACUACCAACACCACCACAGACUUCUAAUCCACCACCUAUACCAGCACCACCAGCGCAAUUUUGAAGACGAUAACAGUAUAAGCAACACCAGCCACGCAAUAGCCGAAUAGUCAGACUAUAUGUCACUAUUUAUUAAAUAAAUAUUAUAUAAAGCAUAAUCUUAAUUCUUUUAAAAAUAGUGCUUCACGCAAUAUAUGUACACUUUUAUUAGAAUAAAAUUUAAUUAAAAACUG